UACAGAGGGCUCAAGCGUUGUUCGGAUUCAUUGGGCGUAAAGGGUGCGUAGGUGGCGCUGUAAGUCGGGUGUGAAAUUUCGGAGCUUAACUCCGAAACUGCAUUCGAUACUGCGGUGCUUGAGGACUGGGGAGGAGACUGGAAUUCAUGGUGUAGCAGUGAAAUGCGUAGAGAUCAUGAGGAAGACCAGUGGCGAAGGCGGGUCUCUGGACAGUUCCUGACACUGAGGCACGAAGGCCAGGGGAGCAAACGGG
This 253-nucleotide ribosomal RNA is filed under the name uncultured bacterium. RNAcentral's name for it is "partial 16S ribosomal RNA". It matches the Rfam family "Bacterial small subunit ribosomal RNA", at positions 524 to 776 of the family's 1533-position model. The record is from RNAcentral.